This 133-nucleotide small nucleolar RNA is filed under the name Setaria italica (foxtail millet). Its description in RNAcentral is "Small nucleolar RNA Z247". It matches the Rfam family "Small nucleolar RNA Z247". From Rfam's summary of the family: Z247 is a member of the C/D class of snoRNA which contain the C (UGAUGA) and D (CUGA) box motifs. Most of the members of the box C/D family function in directing site-specific 2'-O-methylation of substrate RNAs. Lineage: Eukaryota; Viridiplantae; Streptophyta; Magnoliopsida; Poales; Poaceae. The record is from Rfam by way of RNAcentral.
AGAAUAGAAGAUGAUGAGCUUAUUGGCUUUAUCUUGAAUGGAUUUGAUUCAGAAUAUAAUCCGUUCGUAUCCUCGGUGUCGAUCAAAGAAUCAUUAUCUCUCAGCAAUUUAUAUGCUCAGUUGCUAUCCUAUG